This 2929-nucleotide ribosomal RNA is filed under the name Escherichia coli. RNAcentral's name for it is "bacterial LSU rRNA". It matches the Rfam family "Bacterial large subunit ribosomal RNA". The record is from RNAcentral. Lineage: Bacteria; Pseudomonadati; Pseudomonadota; Gammaproteobacteria; Enterobacterales; Enterobacteriaceae.
GGGUUGUGAGGUUAAGCGACUAAGCGUACACGGUGGAUGCCCUGGCAGUCAGAGGCGAUGAAGGACGUGCUAAUCUGCGAUAAGCGUCGGUAAGGUGAUAUGAACCGUUAUAACCGGCGAUUUCCGAAUGGGGAAACCCAGUGUGAUUCGUCACACUAUCAUUAACUGAAUCCAUAGGUUAAUGAGGCGAACCGGGGGAACUGAAACAUCUAAGUACCCCGAGGAAAAGAAAUCAACCGAGAUUCCCCCAGUAGCGGCGAGCGAACGGGGAGCAGCCCAGAGCCUGAAUCAGUGUGUGUGUUAGUGGAAGCGUCUGGAAAGGCGCGCGAUACAGGGUGACAGCCCCGUACACAAAAAUGCACAUGCUGUGAGCUCGAUGAGUAGGGCGGGACACGUGGUAUCCUGUCUGAAUAUGGGGGGACCAUCCUCCAAGGCUAAAUACUCCUGACUGACCGAUAGUGAACCAGUACCGUGAGGGAAAGGCGAAAAGAACCCCGGCGAGGGGAGUGAAAAAGAACCUGAAACCGUGUACGUACAAGCAGUGGGAGCCUCUUUAUGGGGUGACUGCGUACCUUUUGUAUAAUGGGUCAGCGACUUAUAUUCUGUAGCAAGGUUAACCGAAUAGGGGAGCCGAAGGGAAACCGAGUCUUAACUGGGCGUUAAGUUGCAGGGUAUAGACCCGAAACCCGGUGAUCUAGCCAUGGGCAGGUUGAAGGUUGGGUAACACUAACUGGAGGACCGAACCGACUAAUGUUGAAAAAUUAGCGGAUGACUUGUGGCUGGGGGUGAAAGGCCAAUCAAACCGGGAGAUAGCUGGUUCUCCCCGAAAGCUAUUUAGGUAGCGCCUCGUGAACUCAUCUCCGGGGGUAGAGCACUGUUUCGGCAAGGGGGUCAUCCCGACUUACCAACCCGAUGCAAACUGCGAAUACCGGAGAAUGUUAUCACGGGAGACACACGGCGGGUGCUAACGUCCGUCGUGAAGAGGGAAACAACCCAGACCGCCAGCUAAGGUCCCAAAGUCAUGGUUAAGUGGGAAACGAUGUGGGAAGGCCCAGACAGCCAGGAUGUUGGCUUAGAAGCAGCCAUCAUUUAAAGAAAGCGUAAUAGCUCACUGGUCGAGUCGGCCUGCGCGGAAGAUGUAACGGGGCUAAACCAUGCACCGAAGCUGCGGCAGCGACGCUUAUGCGUUGUUGGGUAGGGGAGCGUUCUGUAAGCCUGUGAAGGUGUGCUGUGAGGCAUGCUGGAGGUAUCAGAAGUGCGAAUGCUGACAUAAGUAACGAUAAAGCGGGUGAAAAGCCCGCUCGCCGGAAGACCAAGGGUUCCUGUCCAACGUUAAUCGGGGCAGGGUGAGUCGACCCCUAAGGCGAGGCCGAAAGGCGUAGUCGAUGGGAAACAGGUUAAUAUUCCUGUACUUGGUGUUACUGCGAAGGGGGGACGGAGAAGGCUAUGUUGGCCGGGCGACGGUUGUCCCGGUUUAAGCGUGUAGGCUGGUUUUCCAGGCAAAUCCGGAAAAUCAAGGCUGAGGCGUGAUGACGAGGCACUACGGUGCUGAAGCAACAAAUGCCCUGCUUCCAGGAAAAGCCUCUAAGCAUCAGGUAACAUCAAAUCGUACCCCAAACCGACACAGGUGGUCAGGUAGAGAAUACCAAGGCGCUUGAGAGAACUCGGGUGAAGGAACUAGGCAAAAUGGUGCCGUAACUUCGGGAGAAGGCACGCUGAUAUGUAGGUGAAGUCCCUCGCGGAUGGAGCUGAAAUCAGUCGAAGAUACCAGCUGGCUGCAACUGUUUAUUAAAAACACAGCACUGUGCAAACACGAAAGUGGACGUAUACGGUGUGACGCCUGCCCGGUGCCGGAAGGUUAAUUGAUGGGGUCAGCGCAAGCGAAGCUCUUGAUCGAAGCCCCGGUAAACGGCGGCCGUAACUAUAACGGUCCUAAGGUAGCGAAAUUCCUUGUCGGGUAAGUUCCGACCUGCACGAAUGGCGUAAUGAUGGCCAGGCUGUCUCCACCCGAGACUCAGUGAAAUUGAACUCGCUGUGAAGAUGCAGUGUACCCGCGGCAAGACGGAAAGACCCCGUGAACCUUUACUAUAGCUUGACACUGAACAUUGAGCCUUGAUGUGUAGGAUAGGUGGGAGGCUUAGAAGUGUGGACGCCAGUCUGCAUGGAGCCGACCUUGAAAUACCACCCUUUAAUGUUUGAUGUUCUAACGUUGACCCGUAAUCCGGGUUGCGGACAGUGUCUGGUGGGUAGUUUGACUGGGGCGGUCUCCUCCUAAAGAGUAACGGAGGAGCACGAAGGUUGGCUAAUCCUGGUCGGACAUCAGGAGGUUAGUGCAAUGGCAUAAGCCAGCUUGACUGCGAGCGUGACGGCGCGAGCAGGUGCGAAAGCAGGUCAUAGUGAUCCGGUGGUUCUGAAUGGAAGGGCCAUCGCUCAACGGAUAAAAGGUACUCCGGGGAUAACAGGCUGAUACCGCCCAAGAGUUCAUAUCGACGGCGGUGUUUGGCACCUCGAUGUCGGCUCAUCACAUCCUGGGGCUGAAGUAGGUCCCAAGGGUAUGGCUGUUCGCCAUUUAAAGUGGUACGCGAGCUGGGUUUAGAACGUCGUGAGACAGUUCGGUCCCUAUCUGCCGUGGGCGCUGGAGAACUGAGGGGGGCUGCUCCUAGUACGAGAGGACCGGAGUGGACGCAUCACUGGUGUUCGGGUUGUCAUGCCAAUGGCACUGCCCGGUAGCUAAAUGCGGAAGAGAUAAGUGCUGAAAGCAUCUAAGCACGAAACUUGCCCCGAGAUGAGUUCUCCCUGACUCCUUGAGAGUCCUGAAGGAACGUUGAAGACGACGACGUUGAUAGGCCGGGUGUGUAAGCGCAGCGAUGCGUUGAGCUAACCGGUACUAAUGAACCGUGAGGCUUAACCUUACAACGCCGAAGCUGUU